GAUCAUGGCUCAGGACGAACGCUGGCGGCGCGCCUAACACAUGCAAGUCGAACGGGGUCAAGAGGAGCUUGCUUUUCUUGACUUAGUGGCGAACGGGUGAGUAACGCGUGAGUAACCUGCCCUGGAGUGGGGGACAACAGUUGGAAACGACUGCUAAUACCGCAUAAGCCCACGGCCCGGCAUCGGGCUGAGGGAAAAGGAUUUAUUCGCUUCAGGAUGGACUCGCGUCCAAUUAGCUAGUUGGUGAGG
Molecule: ribosomal RNA, 249 nt
Filed under: uncultured bacterium
Lineage: Bacteria
Description: partial 16S ribosomal RNA
Rfam family: Bacterial small subunit ribosomal RNA
Source: RNAcentral